CUGCAAGUCGGCCAGGUACAUUCUCACGGCUGCCACCUCCUCGCAUCCUGUGAAUGCUGAAUCUCCUGCACGGAUUCUAUCCUUUUCUUACCUUUUCUCUCCUAUUAUUGUUCCUUAAAAAAGUGGGGAGAUCUUCUUAGCUUUGUGUUCAGAUCAUUUUAUUUACUCUAAUAUUUAAAUUUCCAAGUGUUCUCUCUUGUUUGUGGAGUCUUUUUCCACGAACAAGAGCUUCUUGUUUGCCAUCCGUAAUACCGUCCCUUCUCUCUGAAGGCAGGUGAAGGUUUUGGAAGUUUACUUCACUCCCUGCUAUGCCUCUGCUUACUCCACGUUUCCUUUCUGUGUUUGCCUCGAUCUUUCUCUUUCAUGUUAAAACCUUUCCUCAUAAGUCUGAUAACCCUUGGUUGCCUGUCAUUGAAGAGAGUGCCACUAACCAGCUCAUUGGAAGCUGUGAGGGAGAGGGCUGCAUUUGAUCCUGGCAGGUGGAGGAACCCCCAGGUAUCAGUACUAGGAGGUCUUUCCUCUCAGCCCACUGGGCUUCCCUAAAGAGUCCUUCAACGCGGCUGAGAUCAGGCAUCUGGGCGCUGAGUACAGGAAGGGGGUUAUGGUUCAGUCAUCCCGAAUGCAGAUUUUCACACAACGCCUGCUAUCGCCAGGACAUGCCUCACCCUCUGCCCUAAAUAACACAGAACCCAGAUCCAAACCCUUCCUGGGUUUAUCCAGAGUCAACCUCAAACCCUAGGCUGCGGAGUCUCUUUCCUAGAGGGAAAACACUGUUUCUGUUUUCAGCUCCACACAUGAGCUCUUUUUUCAGAGGACCGGGCCCUCUGUUGUGUGACUGGGAACGUGCUGUCUUCCUCUAAAUCAGACAGGCAUCUGCAAAGGCUUUUUACUUAUCUGAAUGACUCCUGUUGGAAUAUUAGCCAUGAAAAAGAUAACAUGUUUGAAAUGGUUCCAAAUUUCUUUAAGAGAAAGAGAAAGAAAAUCAUCUGUUGACUCUGCUCUUCACUCAGGGGCGGAGGCUCCAGGACCAGUCUGAGGAGUAAAUACUGCUGGGCGCUUAAACUCAUUGGUGUUGGGAACUCGGUGACGCUAUACGGCACAGAGGGGCCGGACAGAGCCGGGGGAAGAGGAGCUGGCCUGUCUCCUCAUUGUCACACACUGUCCCGCCGUGGAGGACUCAGCCUGUCUGGUGACCACAGAGGUAGUGAAGCGGUUGCCAGGGACCACAGCAGGAGUGGCGUUUCUCCGUGAAGACAGUGCUUAGCAGGAAGGACUGAGAGCGCGUCCCACGGGGGUACUGGCAGGUGUAGGAUUCCAUCAGAGCCAACGCUAUCAUUUGCGCUUUAAGCCUAGCAUUUGGGGAACUGGGAUAGCACAUCCCCUCCCCUCCCUGUUGCUUAGCAACAGGCUUCUUUCUCAUUCCCAGCAGGUCCAAAGGGGCCCAGUUUUGAAGGUAGGAGGCAAGGAGUGGGGGGAAAUGAGGCUGUCUGCUGGAUCCUGAGAUUCAAAGACACACCUGCAGCCCACACUGGUGGGGAGGCUCAGAAUGCCCACCUCCUGGGGCCUCUGCGCUGGACAUUGGGUCACGGAAGCCCCCCUUUCCUGAGUUGUUCUGUGGGACUCCAAAGAGUCUCUUGCCAAGCUCUUUGACAGUUGGCAUCCCAUCUGAAUAGCCCCAUGUGCCAGUCUAGGGCCUCUGAGACGCAGAUGCCAAGAGGGGAUUAAAAGUGCCACGAUUUUGUUAGGGGAAAUGCCCAGAUGAGGAAAGCCAGAGGGAGCCUAUCUGAGAAGCUGUCAGACCGGGACUCAGGGCUGACCCUGAGGGAAGGAGGAAGCGCAGGUUUAGAGGACGCAUUCUAGACUGUGUGGAGUCUAAGGAAGACUCCAUGGCCAUGCAAGAGUGCCCCAGCCGAAGGCACCCAUGGAGGAGCCCACCGCUCCCGGGGCAGCCUCCCUUCAUGUCCUCCUGUGUCACUUCGGAGGACAGCUCCUUUGGCCUUGGACACUUCCUCUCCCCGAGUUUCGCAGGCUGCAGGGCGUGUUCUCCUGUUGUCCGCAUCCAAGCCUGCUCAGAGGUAGGGUUAGGUGAACCUGGGGCUUGGGAAUAUUCCACUGGGGGGAUAGGGAGGCCUGCAAAGGUAGGCAGAGGGCCACACUGUGAGGGGUUCAGAAGAGAGGGCCUGUGGACAGAGGGGGCAAAUCCAGGGAUGGGGAGCAGUGGCGAGGACGUGCAUGCCCACAGGAGGCCACAUGUGAAGGGGGAAGGCCAGGAUUAGCAGUAGCAUGGACUCCCCAUCUGCUGCUGUUUUCCCGCCGUGUUAGAGCUCCCUAGUGUGGGUCUUUUCCAAUCUCGCUUCACGUGGGAACCCUCCCAUAAGUGGCUUCACUUACACCUGUGUCUCGUUCUGUCUGGGCUGCUAUAACAAAUUAUCUGUGGGUGGGUAAUUUCUAAACCACAGACAGUUCUGGAGGCUGGAAGUCCAAGACUGAGGUACAGGCAGGUUUGAUGUCUGGUGAGGGCCUUGACUGGUGCAUCACAUGGUGGAAGGCAGAGGAACAGAAAGUGGAAAACACUGUCCUCCCAGCAGAAGAGAAUGAACCUCCUUCCUCGAGCCCUUUGAUAAGGGCCCUAACCCCACCUGGCAGGGCUCCACCCUCAUGACUUAAUCGCCUCCUAGAGGUCCCACCUCUUAAAACUAUCACAUGGGGAUUACAUUUCAACAUAUAAAUUUUGCCAGACACAUUCAGACCAUAGCAACCUACUAGGUUCUUUUUCCUUAUCUAUAACAACUGAUUAUGCUUAUAAAUAUUGGCAAGCAAAA
Molecule: long non-coding RNA, 2822 nt
Organism: Cebus imitator (Panamanian white-faced capuchin)
Lineage: Eukaryota; Metazoa; Chordata; Mammalia; Primates; Cebidae
Exons: 2
Source: RefSeq, a predicted model, not a curated record